RNAcentral lists this ribosomal RNA (467 nucleotides) under Bacillus subtilis. RNAcentral's name for it is "bacterial SSU rRNA". It matches the Rfam family "Bacterial small subunit ribosomal RNA", at positions 8 to 465 of the family's 1533-position model. The record is from RNAcentral. Lineage: Bacteria; Bacillati; Bacillota; Bacilli; Caryophanales; Bacillaceae.
AGAGUUUGAUCCUGGCUCAGGACGAACGCUGGCGGCGUGCCUAAUACAUGCAAGUCGAGCGGACAGAUGGGAGCUUGCUCCCUGAUGUUAGCGGCGGACGGGUGAGUAACACGUGGGUAACCUGCCUGUAAGACUGGGAUAACUCCGGGAAACCGGGGCUAAUACCGGAUGGUUGUUUGAACCGCAUGGUUCAAACAUAAAAGGUGGCUUCGGCUACCACUUACAGAUGGACCCGCGGCGCAUUAGCUAGUUGGUGAGGUAACGGCUCACCAAGGCAACGAUGCGUAGCCGACCUGAGAGGGUGAUCGGCCACACUGGGACUGAGACACGGCCCAGACUCCUACGGGAGGCAGCAGUAGGGAAUCUUCCGCAAUGGACGAAAGUCUGACGGAGCAACGCCGCGUGAGUGAUGAAGGUUUUCGGAUCGUAAAGCUCUGUUGUUAGGGAAGAACAAGUACCGUUCGAAU